CAGUAGCCACGGUAAUACGUAGGGUGCAAGCGUCAAUCGGAAUUACUGGGCGUAAAGCGUGCGCAGGCGGUUUUGUAAGACAGAGGUGAAAUCCCCGGGCUCAACCUGGGAACUGCCUUUGUGACUGCAAGGCUGGAGUGCGGCAGAGGGGGAUGGAAUUCCGCGUGUAGCAGUGAAAUGCGUAGAUAUGCGGAGGAACACCGAUGGCGAAGGCAAUCCCCUGGGCCUGCACUGACGCUCAUGCACGAAAGCGUGGGGAGCAAACAGGAUUAGAGACCCCCGUAGUCCCUGUCUCUUAUAC
Molecule: ribosomal RNA, 301 nt
Filed under: uncultured bacterium
Lineage: Bacteria
Description: partial 16S ribosomal RNA
Rfam family: Bacterial small subunit ribosomal RNA
Source: RNAcentral